This 410-nucleotide ribosomal RNA is filed under the name bacterium enrichment culture clone ALO1_GLFRUDD03G0DUT. Its description in RNAcentral is "bacterial SSU rRNA". It matches the Rfam family "Bacterial small subunit ribosomal RNA", at positions 9 to 420 of the family's 1533-position model. The record is from RNAcentral.
GAGUUUGAUCCUGGCUCAGAUUGAACGCUGGCGGCAUGCCUUACACAUGCAAGUCGAACGGCAGCACGGGAGCUUGCUCCUGGUGGCGAGUGGCGAACGGGUGAGUAAUGCAUCGGAACGUAUCCUGGAGUGGGGGAUAACGUAGCGAAAGUUACGCUAAUACCGCAUAUUCUGUGAGCAGGAAAGCGGGGGACCUUCGGGCCUCGCGCUCUUGGAGCGGCCGAUGUCGGAUUAGCUAGUUGGUGAGGUAAAGGCUCACCAAGGCGACGAUCCGUAGCAGGUCUGAGAGGAUGAUCUGCCACACUGGAACUGAGACACGGUCCAGACUCCUACGGGAGGCAGCAGUGGGGAAUUUUGGACAAUGGGGCAACCCUGAUCCAGCCAUGCCGCGUGAGUGAAGAAGGCCUCGG